RNAcentral lists this transfer RNA (73 nucleotides) under bacterium. Its description in RNAcentral is "tRNA-Lys". It matches the Rfam family "tRNA". Rfam says of the family: Transfer RNA (tRNA) molecules are approximately 80 nucleotides in length. Their secondary structure includes four short double-helical elements and three loops (D, anti-codon, and T loops). The record is from RNAcentral.
CCGCCCAUAGCUCAGUCGGUAGAGCACUCGCCUUUUAAGCGAUUGGUCGCAGGUUCGAAUCCUGCUGGGCGGA